This is a long non-coding RNA of Suricata suricatta (meerkat), 422 nucleotides long. RefSeq lists it as uncharacterized. The record is from RefSeq and is a predicted model, not a curated record. The transcript is spliced from 3 exons. NCBI's taxonomy places the organism in Eukaryota, Metazoa, Chordata, Mammalia, Carnivora, Herpestidae.
GUUAAAGAAAACCAGAGCCUAACAGUAGUGUUAAAACAGAUUUUCCUCAGGAACUAUUACAAUAGGGGGAAGGAGACUUUGGCUUGUCAAGCAGCCAAGCGUGUCCUGUUUUGUGGUCGGGUAGUUUGUUCGGAAAGCGAUAGAUCCCAGAUACUGCUCAGUAAUCACCUCGUGAGCCCGUCACUGCCCCAUCCCUGGAGAGAGAAGAGCUGGAGGCAUGAUGCUUGGACCGCAUUUACCAGUGAAGAGAUGCCAUACUGAAGUCAGGACGAGAGCAAUGGCUUCCGUUUACGGAGAGAAUCCCAGAAUGGAAGUCCACCCUGGCCAAGCCUGUGUCAUCAACCCGCGUCACAGGCAGCCGCCAUCGGCCAGGAGGCUCCUCCGUUCUCCCCAAGGAGAAUAAUGGUGCGUCUGUAAGUCCC